Molecule: ribosomal RNA, 253 nt
Filed under: uncultured bacterium
Lineage: Bacteria
Description: partial 16S ribosomal RNA
Rfam family: Bacterial small subunit ribosomal RNA
Source: RNAcentral
UACGUAGGGGGCAAGCGUUGUCCGGAAUCAUUGGGCGUAAAGAGCAUGUAGGCGGCUCGAUAAGUCCGCUCUGAAAGCCCGGGGCUCAACCCCGGGAGGCGGGCGGAAACUGUCGGGCUAGAGUCCGGAAGAGGCGAGUGGAAUUCCCGGUGUAGCGGUGAAAUGCGCAGAUAUCGGGAGGAACACCAAUGGCGAAGGCAGCUCGCUGGGACGUGACUGACGCUGAGACGCGAAAGCGUGGGGAGCGAACAGG